Molecule: long non-coding RNA, 3246 nt
Organism: Eriocheir sinensis (Chinese mitten crab)
Lineage: Eukaryota; Metazoa; Arthropoda; Malacostraca; Decapoda; Varunidae
Exons: 3
Source: RefSeq, a predicted model, not a curated record
UUAUAUUUAGGACAUUCACCAGAGAAGAAAUACUGCGAGAGGUGUUUUUUUUUUCUUUAUAGACGUACGCUUGUUUGUGUCUAAUUUAAUUUUUGUUUGUCUGAUUUGAUUGGGUGGUUCUUAAUAUUACUACUUUUUCUUAUAUUUAGGGCAUUCACCAGAAAAGAAAUACUGCGAGAGGUGAGUUUUUUAUGUAUAGUCGUACUCUUGUUUGUGUCUGAUCUACUUCUAGGAAAAAACACAUCGUUAACCAAGUCUUUCUGAAAAUAUAACUGACGUACUAAGAAAAGGCCUCGUUACUUCCACACAAACUGGCCUUUACGUAUGAUCAUUAAGAUCGUAUUGUAUUGUGUUGACCCUAUUUCUGUAAUGAGCGGGAAAACUCUCACGGGAACGUGUCUAAUCGUUAAUAAUGGCAAAGAGAGCCUAAGUAGUUGGAAAAUGAGUACCGAAGCGGAGGUUGAGACGUAAUAUGGGGAGGCGGUGGCUGAGUGGUUAGCGUGCGGACCCCGCAUUCACCGCGUUCUGAGCGACACGGGUUCAAAUCCGCACGCCACCAUCUGGGAUUUUUCAGUCACCGCCGAGUGGCCUAAGAUUACCCACAUGUUGUCCUGAAGACCACCCAUCAACCCGGACUCUAGAGGAGACCGUCCAAGUGAAUCAAGAAUGAGCUCCGGGGGACAUCAUGAGCCAAGAAUAGAUGGCGCCACAAUAAACACUUGCCUGCGCCAUGAUGGGCUUGGGCCGACCACCAGGCCCCUGAAGAAAUCCUACUGGCGUUGUAGGCUAACACGUAAUAAAAAAAAAAAAUAAUAAAUAAAAAAAAAAAUAAAAAAAAACGUUUGAAGUCGUCGCUGGAAGUUGUAAAAGUGAAUCAGACAAAGGGUCAGUUCGACAGUCCAUCACAGAGUUAUUGUAAUCGCCAAGCCAAACCCUGUUCUCCACAAUGAUCCGUUAUUUCUACUCAAUGCCAGAUACGACAGAGAUUUCCCGUGUGGCUUCCUAAAGAGGCUAUUACACUGGGCAAAUUUUCCGUGGAUUUUCAGUCAAACCACGAUUUCCGCUAGCGUGGUUCUCAUUUGUUUCUUGUUAUUGCUGCUGCUGAUGAUGGUGAGUAAUACCGCCGUCCUUCGGUGAAAUCUACUGUAGCUUUGGAAGAUCGUGGACACGUCAGAAAACCACGGAAAUAUAAGAACCACGCCAGCGAAAAUCGUGGUUUGAUUGAAGAUCCACGGAAAAUUUGCCCAGUGUAAUAGCCCCUUUAAAUUUCCUCCUUUUUAUGCCCACGCCACACACCAGACAAGGAAUUUUCGUCGCCUUUUGUGUUUGGUUGUGAAGCUUACAAAUUUGCUGUAUUGGAUUAUGAAACCGGCCCAAAGUUGAGUGUCACUUCUCUCUGGUAAGAAAUCGCAGACGUCUCAUGGAAGUGGACGAGUUUAAUAAGGCUGGGAUUACAAGACACUUACCCUUCUCACAUCAGCUAUUUCUAAAGGUCAAAGGGGGAUAUCAAUCAGAUUCUGAGUGUUUUUAGGCUCAGGGUACAGAAGAAGGGUCAAACUACCACCAGGGUCAUUAAACUACUACUGGAAAUGCCCACAACUCCUGCGAAAGCCUUGUCAAAUAUGUGUUUCUAUAGGUUCACGGUAGAGAGGAAGGGUCAAACUACCACCAGGGUCAUAAAACUACUACUGGAAAUGCCCACAACUCCUGCGAAAGCCUUGUCCAAUAGGUGCUCUUGGGCGGCGAAAUGUCUUAUAAUCCGACCCUUAGUAAGAGUGUAUUCAAAUUUACGUAGUUUGGACGCAUUUCAAAAGGUGCCUAUCCGUGUUUUGUUAUUCGUAAUUCUGUAAGCAUUAAAAAAAGAAGCAUCGUUUUUGUAUUACACGGUUUAAAGGGAGGAGCUUAGUAGUACCGGGUGCGGCGUCCUUUUCGAAAAACAAAGAUAUCAGGACGUCGUUAUAAUAAAACAUCAUAAAUCUAGUACUGGUUUUCCUGGGCGUUUUCCCGUUCAUGGCGCAGAAAUCUUCCUAAUCUAUCGCCAGGGUCAUGAAACCACCCAUGGAAAGCUCUAAUACUUUUACGAGAGAGCCUUUUUAAAUAAGAGCAGGCUACCAAGGUGUCGAAAGAAUAUGGGCUCCGGCGGUGUUCUUUCUCCGAGUGUUUUCCCGUUCAUGGCGCAAAAAUCUUCCUUAUCUAUCGCCAGGGUCAUAAAACCAUCCAUGGAAAGCUGUAAUACUUUUACGAGAGCUUUUUUAAGUCGAAGUAGGCUGCCAAGGUGUCGAAACGUUUGGGAAUAUGGGCUCAGGCGGUGUUGUUUCUACGAACUCUUUCAACGUUUUGGAGGAAGGGACGCAAGACUGGCAUUCUCCUCUCCUGGUGAGCUCUGAACAUGAUGGCUUAUUGCUUGGACUUCAAUACGUGUGCAGCCAGUCAGUCAGCCAGCCUUCUACUCUACUCUUAAACGUAUAUCUCCAUUAUCGUACCUUUUCACGGGCAACGCUAUAGAUGUACACCCACAUUCAGUCAAUGCAGUCGUGCUUAAAACUACACACACACACACACACACACACGCACAGACGAGGGAAGGGCGGGGUAUAGUUGAGAAUAGGGCACCGUUACUAGAUUCUCGUACUCACCACACUGCAUUUUCCGGUUUCCUACCCCAAACUAUAACUAAAAAAACAUCACUAGUUAACAGUUUGCACAAUAGUUAAAUGAAUAUCGUUAUUUAUAUAGGUAUGACACUUUUGAGGCUGAAACCAAUAGAUGCAAUGUUCUGAGUACGAGGAUCUGGUAACACUGGCGUCGGGCAAGGCGGGGUCAUGCAGGACAGCUGACGCGCCUCUCCCAAGGUCACCGCCCUUCCCUCGCUGCAACCACAUCUUUGAACGUAUGUCUCUCUUUAAAACUAUGUUCUAAGGCCACAGAGAAGCUUAACCGGGUUUUCAAAGGUGAUUCUUACGUCAAAGGUGCAAAAGUCAUGUACAACUAUCACUGGGAUCACUAAACGGUCCAUGAAAACCCAUCAACUUCAACGAGAGGCUUCAAAGAGGCGAACUGAGGCGCCGAAAAUUCUGUUUAUAAAGACCACAGAGAAGAUUAACCGGGUUUUUAAGGGUGACUCUCCCGUUCGAGCUGUCACCAGGAUCAUAAAACAGUCCUUAUAAAGCCUAGCAACUUCAACGAGAGACUUCAAACAGGCGAACUGAGGAGUGGGUACGUUUAAGAAUACGGGUUAUGUCAUAC